CGCUUUUAAUAUUUUAUUAAAUCAGAUAGAGAAGGAACAAUUUACAUACAUAAAUAAACAAUCAAUCAAAUAAAUAAUAAAUAAAUAAAUAAAUGUACAAGAUGUAUUCUCUAGUCUCGUUUUAAUUGUCUUUAUUACAUCUGUGUAGUGUUUUAGUGAGUUAGGAGAAAUGACUGAAGGUCAUCUCAUAAUCAAUAUAUAAAAAAGCAAAACAUCACCUAAACAGAAUAAAUAUUAAUAAUUAAUAACGGAAACCAUUAGGACUGUUAAUUGUCGUGGAAAUUAGACAACACUCGCGGACUCGUCCUCUGAGUUUCCAAACUGUCCCCAAAUCAUGUACUACCUCAAAGGCGUAUCUACUGUCUGUGUAGAUAUUUACUGACUGUCCCUCAGCAGGUCUUCAUGCCUCUAUGAGGGCGUACAGUUCAGCUGGUUGUGCUGAAAGUUUUGAGGGGAGACUUCCUGACAGACCGUCUCGUGUGCGGUCACUACUCAUAACCCACUCGAUUUUUACCUGUCUCUGGGUCACAUGACGCUGACCCGUCCAUAAAGAGGAUCAAAUCUGGGUUUUCCAAUGGAACAUCCUUCAGGUCGAUUCUAGGGGAGCAGAGUUCAUUAGUCAGUACAACACAGUCAUGUGGUUCCCUGUCUCCCUCUGUUGGAAGAAGAGUAGCAGGGUUAAGGACAGUACGUUGUUUUAUAGUGACAUUUGGCAUGUCUAAUAGUACAGUGUUAUGGUGCAGCCAUCAUUGGGUGGACAGGUGUGAGGUUUUCUGUUCAAGUAGGAGUAACAACACCUCAUGUGGAACCAAGAGGAUCAAUUCUGAGUAACCUACCACCGACCGUCUCUGGAUGCCACCACAGCUUUCUCAGCUGCUGCUACUGCACGUACACACGGGGGAAACUCUGCAGUGACUCGGAUCCAACUUACCUGAGAACGAACUGUCCAACCUGUCGCAUAUGCCAUCUCUCUGAGCGGUGCUUCUAGAAUGGUAUAGUUUAGAAUGAAAGUUCUGCGAUACGAACACAUACAUAGGAUAGAGAGAACUUGUUUCUUCGUCAGAGGCUUGGGAAUCUUCUGGAUUGCAGAUACUCUUUCAGCGGAGAGUUUCUUUCCCUUUGCAGAAAUGUCAUGACCCAAGACUCUCACUUCUUGUUGUACAUACUGUAAUUUGGAGAGACUGGCUUUGUGUCCUUCUUAGGCAAGAUGCUGCAACAAUUUAAUGGUGUCAGUUUCUCACUGUGCUCUGGAGAAAGUGGUAGAGGUGCUAAGCUGUCCUUUAGCAUUUGGUUGUAUAUCGUUAGUGACUCUCAACAUCCCUAACACAAGUGAGUGAAAGUGUAAGGAUGUCCGUCAAAUAUGAAUGCAAACCGAAACUGUCUGUCUUUAUCAAGAGAAAUACUGAAAAAACGCAUUAACUAAAACUACGACUGAAAACCAUUCGCUAUUUGCUGGACCCUGGUUUAAUACAGUGUAAGAAUUUGGCACGUCUAGAGCUCUCUGUUUGACUGCUGCAUUAACCGCUUACAAAUCUUCUACAAAUCUCCAUUCGUCAGGUUGUAGGGUUUUUUUUUUUUUUGCUUCUCUCACUGGAAAUAUUGGGGUGCGCACUGACGAAUCAGGACAGGUAACAAUGACGCCUACCUUCAAUAAUGAAUUGAAAUCUGGUCCAAUCCCCUCAAUAGCUUCUGAUUUAAGAGGGUAUUGAGAUUGUCUGGGCCUAAAGUCAGAUUUGGGCGUGAUCACGACUGGCGGUGCACUUCUAAUCAGGCCUACGUCAUGUUUCCCUUGGGCCCACAGCCUGAGAGGCACCUUCUUCAAUUGUGGGUGUGUCUCUAGGGGUGUGGGGCUUGUCCCAAGGUUCAGAAACAUUCCCUUGUCAUGACAAAUAACAUCCCGGUUAACCUUGCACAUUUCCUGAAAGAAUUUUUUAUAAACUCCCAGCGUCGGGCUGUACCAUAUGUUGGAGGUGGGUUCAUGUUCCCAAUCUGUAAUUUUCCCACUCUCACAUAAUCUGACCCACAGUCCCACGUCUUUGUACUGUCUGUUCUUUAUUUUGGCUAAUGAGACAUGGGGCACGGAUUCUGGGACGAAAAAUGCACGCAACUGAGUGUCACUCAAUUUGACUGAACAUGCACAAAAUUUGUCACACCAAUAUUGGUACAGUUCUUCACUUUCUGGGAUAUCCAUAAACCACUCUUUCUCAAAUUAAAGUCUCUUCCUUCAUGCACUUGCGCUGUGCAAUGGAGGACAGAGGACAGCAUAAAAUCAACACAGUUGUCCUUCAUCUUAUCAUGUGCCAGUGUCAACAAACGAGCACAGGCUCUAGGCUCGUUAUGCAUGGACCAUUGAUAAACACAGAGCUCUGUUUCUCUAACAAAUGGAGUUCCCAAAGAUGAGUCAUCAGUUAUUGUUACUCCCUGAGGUGAGGAAAUCAAAUUUAAGUGUAAAACACACAUUAAGUCCCUGCCCAGUAGAUUGACUGGACAUGAAGACGAAAUUAGGUCUAAUACUGAAUGUCCCGUCACACCCAUGGAGUGCAGUGACCGUGAACUCGUUUUCGGGGAUUCUUUUAAUUCGCAGUGUUUUAUUACUGAAUACGUUGCUCCUGAAUCUACCAAAAAUGUGAUACUUUGUCCAUUAAUUACAAGAGAUAUACAUAGUAACUGUGUAAAAGGAGAGGCAUGAUACUUUAAAAAGGUUAAGGGUCAUGACUGGGUCAGACGUUUGUGAAUUGUCAGUCUGACUAAUGUUGGAUGUGGGUGUGUGCAUAUAUUCCUGUUCUUUGUGAGCUAACUGAUAAGAGGUGACAUCAGACACCCAAACUCUGUUCCCAGGUGCCUCACCCUUCCCUUAGCUCCGCCCAUCAGUCGGCUUCUGCUCUGGACAGUCUCUUGCAAAAUGUCCAACUUUUCCACAGAUAAAAGCUGUAAAGAUGUAUCUAUGGGGGUUGCUACCUGGCCUUCCUCAUCCGCGUCCUUUUGGUCUUUCUCUCCUCUCCAACUUUCUUUCCUUUGCCUCUCGUAGGUGCUUCUCCCCAUGGAUUGCAUAUCAUUCUACCUGAGUCAUAUUUCCAGUAUCCCAGGUAAUGCGUUGAUGUUUUACAAGAGCAACGAUAUCUGGUUUCAUACCAUUCCUGAAGCUGUUUCUGAGAUGUGCUACCCAUGCUGUGUCUUCGGCUGCUUGUCCAUCUGCGAGUGCUACUGGUCUUAAUUUGCAUCAUGGACUUCAGUGAGACGAGAUAGAUACUUUGCUAUUUUUGUCACGUCCAGGUGCACAGGAAAGGUGUUUGUCAGCCUCUGCUUGAACGCCGUGAUUUGUGCUCUGUACCUUGUGUUGACUCCAUCAGCCCACUGUGGGUUGAUCAGGCGGACAUCGUUCUCUGGGAAUUCAGGUGAAACCUUGACCCAGUCCGGGCCAAGUUUCGCCAUGAGCAGUCGUCGUAGUUCAUGAGUGGUGGGUCUGAAUUCUCAGAAGUUCAUCCCCAAACUUUUGUUGUCCUACUUCGUGGAGCACCGGCAAAUGCAUCAUGCUGCUCCUGAUGUCUUCCAAUAUCCAGGGUAUGUCAACUAGCAUAGGGCCUCCUCCUCUGGCCACCUCCAGCAUUGGGGCAUUUACCACGGCGUGCACUGUCCCUUCUCUGUCUGAUUUUGUUGGUCUGAAGCCCUCAGGCAGCAAUGCUGUUGGUCCAUUCACUUGGGAUCUCGUGUGUAACGCCACCGGUGAAGAUAGGACGGCUGGAGCAUAGUUCGGUGGGGGUUGGUGGAUCAGUUCUGACAGGUUCGGAUAGAGUGGUGUAGGCUGGGCCGCUUCAUCGUGAAGAGGUGCCUCUCAAACUGCAGGUUCCUCCCUCCUUCCUGGCUGUGGGUGUCAUGGUGGGGCGGAGUCCAGGUCGGGAUCGGCUUUCUGCAAUUUAGCACACUGCGAAACAGAUGAGGGCCCUGCCUGCCAUUUUUUCUCUCUUUUAUGUGCCUCACUCUGCCCUUCAGCAAAUGCCCUCCAGUCUGCCAAAAACUGUGUUUUUAAAAAAAAUUAUUUUAGAAAUAUCUCUCUUCUUUGCUUACAAAUUAAAUUUCUGUUGUUCUAACUGUCUGAGACUAAAACUACCUUUUUCCAGGAAAGCACAUUCUUUAACCCAUACAUCAUACUGGUUCAAACAUCCUUCCCCAUAAUUCACACGCAUAAAUGUGAUAUUAGGACCAACAUAUGAGUACCCUGUACAUACCAUAGCAUGUGGCUCAGGAUGUGCUUUUUCUCUUUUUUACACCUUCUAUAACUUUCAUUUUAAAGUUUUAAUCAAUUUAACAUGCUAUAAAAAUCAAGUGAAUAUGCAUUCUCAUGCACAGACAGAAAAAUUAAUCAUAUAACUUAUAGGUUCAAUAGAGCAAACCUUAAGAAUGUAAAAGAGUUUACCUGUGAGGGAGAGUCCACAUACAGCAAUUUGGUAGGACCUACUGUUUUCUCUUCCCUUCUUUUUUCUUAAUAAUUUAUUUUUUUAUUAUUAUUAUUAUUUUUUAUCUCAGUAAAAUUUACUUGUGCAUUAAAUUUGCCAAAUAUAUCAUGUACCGCUGAUAUGAUGGAAUGAGGCAUCCCACUUCAUAAUAACCCACCACAAAAAUACUGCGCUCCUUAAUAAGUACUCCGUUUAUUUAUUGCUCAAAACUGACUCUUCCCAUUAGCAAAUAUUUUUACCGUUAUUAUCUCUCUAAUAUUAAUAUACAUAUAUACACACACAUACACACCCGUCAGUAUAGAUCUUAAUUUUGAAGCUGUGAUCUAAGAAACACCAAUAUCUCUGCCGUCGCAGAGGCGAAGUUCCUGGAUGUUCCCUUCCAUAGAGACAGCAAUACACAUUGACUUCAUAAAAUUCUCAUUCUAAAUUCUUGAUGAUUCCUACCGGUCAGUGGUAAGGCUGCAUCAGUCUUUCACUUUACACAACAAAGGGCAAACCGCCUGCGUGCGAACACGGACUUCAGGGUGAAAACUUUUCCGCGAGCGUCCUCUGGUUUGCUUGUUGUCCAGAAAAGCUGAAAGACUCGUGCAGUCCAGCCAGGAGACGCCAAAUUGUUGGGAAAAUUAGACAACACUCACAGACUCGUCCUCUGAAGGUAAAAAGGUUUAUUACAGAAAGAUGGUUAACACAGGAUAGAAUAAAGCAGGAUAGAAUAAUGAGAACGCUCUGAAACCCUUGUACUAAACCACUACUAUAUAUAUAUAUAUAUAUAUAUAUAAGAAACGCAGAGUAUGACACACUCCUGUGUACCGAUAAGAAGCAGUUUGAGGCAGUUCAAACAGGCUUUGUUUUAGGAUCUUGGAAGAUGUUUAGACGAACCUUGAACAGAAGAACAUGUUUGUGUCUCUGUAAGCAGAUAAACAUUCUGUACUGAUCUCAGUGACAUGACGUGGCCUUCUUAGGCGUUAUCCUCAGAUGAGAAUGAAACAGAACAAGAACAAUACUAUUACAAAGUAAAAAUGAAUAAUUUCCCUCACAUAACAUAAUUACAAACUAUUUAAGGCAAUCAGGGAAAUGUGUUUGUCUAAACAAUUAAAUAAAGAAACGGGUAUAGUUUUAAUCCCAGACAUACAGUCAAAGGUAGAAGAGUAGCUCAUUAUGGAUGGCUGUGUUGCAUUUAAUUAAAUAGAAAAGACAUGACUCUCUCAAUUGACAAGUGUUUGUACUAUAAAACCUCAGUUUUGUCCCUUUCUCAGAGAACAUAAGAUUUUAAAAACAACCCCCACACACACAUUUCAAUAUUUAACACAGGAAAUAAAUAAAAAAGAAUAUUUCAGAAUAGAAAUUAAAUACACCUCACUCUAAAAAAAUAAAUAAAACGCAGACAAUGGAAUUGGCUUGUGUUUUAAUUGUUUUGUUGGCGGUUGAAUGAGUGAAAAGGUGUUUAUGUAAGAAGAGGGCGAGAAACGACAGCAGCAAGUUUCAAAACUCUGAUUUAAAACCAAAACAGGAAAUUCCCUCCUACUAAAUGUUUCCUUCUGACUUUUACCCAAAUCAGGCGUGAAAUGUGAACUCAGUACAAACUGUAAGAAGAGGCUUUACAUCAAUGACACGUACAGAAAUAAACACGUUUUCACUCGGCAACAAAAAAGCGACUUUAUUAUCUAUUAUUAAAGACCUCAGACCAGUCAAUUGAAUUAAACAGGUUUAAAAUGUUGCAUUAAUGUUUGUUUGUUUUUUCAAAACACAAAGUUGUUAAAUUUCUAAUCUAACGUUCAGAAUGUAAAUAAACAACAUGAAUCUACUGUAAUCUUAACUAAACUCAUUUUAAAAUAACAUUAAUAUGCACAAUGAUGCAAAUUACAGUUUAACAUACUAUAAAACAAAAAAUCUUAUUUUAGUACACAUUUACAAGCCUAAUAUGUAAAUUUACUGUUUAUACAACAAAUUAAAAAAUAAAAGAAAGAAAGAAAAUGAAAGAAAGAAAAAGAAAACUUCUGAGCUCUUUUGCUUUACAUUUCCACACAGGAAGGUAAAGAAUUCGGUUCUGUCUUCUGAUUGGUUGGUCGUACUUCCGGGUGUAACCUUAAUCGACGUUGAAAUGGGGAAAAAUAGUUUCCAGUGUUAUGUCGUUCAUCCAGCAAACGGCAAUAUCCGAAGAUUAAAAAAACCGUCGUUGAAAACGUUAAUUUGUUUAAAUUAAUCCUUAUUUAGAUUUAAAAAGUCGGAAAUCCAGUACUGCUUUGUUCACAAAUCCUUCAGUCGAUGUCUUUCUCUGCCUUCGUCUCGCUAUUUUCACCUUCAACAUUGUUGGACAUUACAUCACCG
Molecule: long non-coding RNA, 6782 nt
Organism: Ictalurus punctatus (channel catfish)
Lineage: Eukaryota; Metazoa; Chordata; Actinopteri; Siluriformes; Ictaluridae
Source: Ensembl